This 484-nucleotide ribosomal RNA is filed under the name uncultured bacterium. Its description in RNAcentral is "partial 16S ribosomal RNA". It matches the Rfam family "Bacterial small subunit ribosomal RNA", at positions 28 to 523 of the family's 1533-position model. The record is from RNAcentral.
GACGAACGCUGGCGGCGUGCUUAACACAUGCAAGUCGAACGAUGAACCCGGAGCUUGCUCCGGCGGAUUAGUGGCGAACGGGUGAGUAACACGUGAGUAACCUGCCCUUGACUCUGGGAUAACUGCGGGAAACUGUAGCUAAUACCGGAUACGACCCUCGGCGGCAUCGCCAGGGGGUGGAAAGAAUUUCGGUCAAGGAUGGACUCGCGGCCUAUCAGCUAGUUGGUGAGGUAACGGCUCACCAAGGCGACGACGGGUAGCCGGCCUGAGAGGGUGACCGGCCACACUGGGACUGAGACACGGCCCAGACCCCUACGGGAGGCAGCAGUGGGGAAUAUUGCACAAUGGGCGCAAGCCUGAUGCAGCAACGCCGCGUGAGGGAUGACGGCCUUCGGGUCGUAAACCUCUUUUAGUAGGGAAGAAGCGAAAGUGACGGUACCUGCAGAAAAAGCACCGGCUAACUACGUGCCAGCCGCCGCCGUAA